Corythoichthys intestinalis (scribbled pipefish) is the source of this 9312-nucleotide RNA transcript. It is a transcript of the gene named myosin X, like 1, with no coding region annotated. The record is from RefSeq and is a predicted model, not a curated record. The transcript has 38 exons. NCBI's taxonomy places the organism in Eukaryota, Metazoa, Chordata, Actinopteri, Syngnathiformes, Syngnathidae.
GACAAGUUUCUUCUGUUAAUGACGAUUGAAUGAAUGGUCGCAGAACCGAGUGGUGCGACAGAAUCCCGGGGAACGCAACUAUCACAUCUUCUAUGCCUUGCUGGCAGGAGCCAAGAAAGAGCAUAAAAGUCUCUACUUCUUGGAAGAUCCAGCUGAAUCUUUUCACUACCUCAGCCAGUCGGGUUGCUUAAAGGAUAAAAGUCUAAAUGAUAAAGAGCUGUUUAACAGUGUAAUGGAGGCGCUGAAAGUGUUGGAGUUUUCUGAGGAAGAGAUCAGAGACAUGUUCAAGCUCCUCUCGGGUGUCCUGCAGCUCGGCAAUGUGGAAUUCAUGACGGCGGGAGGAGCUCAGAUCACCACCAAGCAAGUGGUGACCAAUGCCAGCGAGCUGCUCGGCCUAGACGCCUUCCAACUCUCUGAAGUACUGACCCAGCGCUCCAUUAUCCUGCGAGGGGAAGAAAUAUGCUCGCCGCUCACCAUCGAGCAGGCGGUGGAUUCCCGGGACUCGGUCGCAAUGGCGCUAUAUUCCCAAUGUUUUUCAUGGAUCAUUCUCAAGAUCAAUCAAAAAAUAAAAGGGAAGGAAAACUUUAAAUCCAUUGGCAUCCUAGAUAUCUUUGGCUUUGAGAACUUUGAGGUGAAUCGCUUUGAACAGUUCAACAUCAACUACGCCAACGAGAAGCUUCAAGAGUACUUCAAUAAGCACAUUUUCUCCCUGGAGCAGCUUGAGUACAACAGGGAAGGUGUCCAGUGGGAUGCAAUCGACUGGAUGGACAACGCUGAGUGUCUUGACCUCAUAGAGAAGAAAUUGGGCUUGUUGGCUCUGGUGAACGAAGAGAGUCGCUUCCCUAAAGGCACGGAUUUCACUCUUUUGGAGAAGUUGCACAGCAGACACUCCACCAACCCUUACUACGUGAAGCCUAGACUGGCCGACCAUCAGUUCGGUAUCAAGCAUUAUGCCGGAGAGGUCUUGUAUGACGUGAAAGGCAUUCUGGAGAAGAACAGAGACACGUUCAGAGACGACAUCCUCAACAUGCUCAAAGACAGCAGGUUGGACUUUAUAUACGACCUUUUCGAGAAGGUGGGCAGCAGGAACAACGAGGAGAAGAUGGGAACGGCAAGACGCAAGCCUACUGUCAGCUCCCAGUUCAGGGACUCGCUGCAUGCGCUCAUGGCUACUCUGAGUGCAUCCAAUCCUUUCUUUAUCCGCUGCAUUAAGCCCAACAUGGAAAAGAACCCAAACGUGUUCGACCCGGAGGUGGUGCUUAACCAGCUGCGCUACUCUGGGAUGCUGGAGACCGUCAAAAUCCGACGCGCUGGCUUCCCCGUCCGAAGAACUUUCAAAGAUUUCUUCUCACGAUAUAAGAUCAUUUACAAAGAGAAAGCAGCAGUAGCAGGAGAUGACAAGAAGAGGAGCACAGAUCUUCUAACUAAAUACGACAAAACUAAGAAGGAGUGGCAGCUGGGGAAGACCAAAGUGUUUAUGAAAGAGUGUCUGGAGCAACGCUUGGAGAAAGACCGGGACGAAGUACGACGCCAGGCGGCUAUGAUCAUAAGAGCUCACCUUCUCACUUUCUCCGCCAAAAAACACUUCAAGCGAGUACGCGCCAGCACCAUCACCCUGCAGAAGCACCUGCGCAGGCACAUCCAGCGUAGCCGCUUCGUGCGCCAGCGCAAAGCGACACUGGUGCUGCAGAGGCACAGGCGAGGUCAGGUGGCCCGAGCCCUUGUCCGUAAACUUCGAGGGGAGAGGAGGAAGAAGGAGGUCGAAGAGAGGAAGGAGGAGGAAGGAGGGGAGGAGACAGAAGAAGAGCGAGCCGCCGAGGGGAACAAUAAAUCCUCCGAGGACGAGGCGCGCCAGAUGGAGGAGAUCCUUCAGCUGGAGCGCGAGAUCGAGCGUCUGCAGAAGAAGCGCGAGGACGAGGUGUCGCAGCUUUGCGAGUCGUCCAAGCAGGAGCUGCAACUGCGCCGCGACGCUGAACUCAAGCGCAUGAAGAAGGAGGCCUCGCGCAAGGCCACCGGUCUCAUCGACCUGCUCAAUUUCGGCGGCGUGGAUCCAACCCUUGGCCAGGCGGCGCAGACAGAGGCCCGCACGGGUGCCGACGACCGUCCUGCUGAGGUCGCCCGGGCUGCCAAUGCCGCACAACCCAAGGACGAGGAGGUGGACGAGGGGUUCCACGCCGAGGAGGAGUACAUCCCGCUUCCUGACUUCCCCCCACCCGCCGAGACGGAUGCCCCGAUGGACCAGGCCAUAUUGGCCCAUCUCCCUCCGCCGCCACCAGCGUUCGCCGAAGGAACGGUGCCGCCCACCCCGCCUCCGCUCCCCACCGCUGAGCCCGAGAGGAAGGCCAGCAUGGUGGAGAGCCUGCCGGACGGCGAGGAGCCCAUCUACAGCCUGCCCGCCGACACAGAGUCCGACUAUGACCAGGAGGAGGAGGAUGGCUCGGUGACGGCUGGCGAUGACAGCUCCGUAUCAGGCAGCAACCGGGGCAGCGCCGCCGUGGCCGACGAGGAGCACCCGCGCAAGUCAACCUGCACCAGCGUCAGCGCCGAGUCUUACCGGGGAAGCUCUGACUCGUACGCCGGCAGCGAUGACGAGCACGAUGGCAUGAUGGACACGGAUGAGGAAGUGACAAACGGACGGGUGACCUUAUUCAACGGCAACGGGCCGCCAUAUUUCCACGGCUACCUCUACAUGAAAGCCGGUCUGAUGAUCCCCUGGCGGAGGCGCUGGUGCGUGCUGAAAGACGAGACCUUCAUGUGGUUCCGCUCCAAGCAAGAAUCCCUCAAGUCAGGCUGGCUCUACAAGAAAGGAGGAGGGCUCUCCACCCUCUCACGCAGGUUAAACUGGAAGAUGCGCUGGUUUGUGCUGAGGGACAGCAAGCUGAUGUACUACGACAACGACAGCGAGGAGAAACUGAAGGGAACCAUCGACAUCAGGGCUGCAAAGGAAAUCGUAGACAAUCACGAAAAAGAGAACGCUCUGAAUAUUGUGACAGACGAGAGGACCUAUCAAGUUUUUGCGGAGUCGCCAGAAGAUGCCAGCGGGUGGUUUAAUGUGCUCAGCAAGGUGCGAGUAUGCACACCAGAGCAGCUUCUGGAGAUGUCCCACGAGCAGGCCAACCCCAAAAAUGCUGUGGGCACGCUUGAUGUGGGCCUGAUUGACUCUGUCUGUGCUUCAGACAAUCCUGAUCGGCCCAACUCCUUUGUGAUCAUCACAGCCAACCGUGUGAUCCACUGCAACAGCGACACGCCUGAGGAAAUGCAUCACUGGAUCAGUCUGCUGCAGAAACCUAAAGGCGACACCAGGAUGGAAGAGUUCCUCGUUCGGGGUUGGCUCCAGAAGGAGGUGAAGACCAACGCCAAGAGCGCCUCGCUGAAGCUCAAGAAGCGUUGGUUCGUCCUCACGCACAAUUCGCUGGACUACUACAAGAGCUCUGAGCGCAACUCGUCCAAAAUGGGCACGCUGGUGCUCAACUCACUGUGCUCCGUCAUCCAGCCGGAUGAGCGAGUUCACAGGGAGACAGGUUACUGGAACAUCAUCGUGUAUGGCAGAAAACAUUCCUACCGCCUUUACACCAAAAUGCUAAAUGAGGCCAUGAGAUGGACCGCCGCCAUUCAAGGCGUCAUAGACAGCAAGACCCCCAUCGAGACCCCGACUCUGCAGCUCAUCAGAGACAUCAAGGAGAACAGUGUGAAUCUAGAAAUUGUGGAACAGAUGUAUAGAAGGAACCCCAUCCUCAGAUACACACAGCAUCCUCUCCACUCGCCGUUACUGCCGCUACCAUACGGCGAAGUCACCAGUCUGCAACGGCAGCAGGGCUACGCCAGCCUGCAGGACGAAGCGGUGCGAGUCUUUAACUCACUGCAGGAGAUGGAGACACUGGCCGACACGGUGCCCAUUAUCCAGGGCAUCCUGCAGACCUGCCAGGACCUCCGUCCUCUCAGGGAUGAGGUUUAUUGUCAGGUUAUCAAGCAGACCAAUCAUGUGCCUCAGCCCAACAGCCCAGCUAAUCGAGCGCAUUGGCACCUCCUCACUUGCAUGAGCUGCACUUUCCUUCCCAGUCGCGUCAUCCUCCGAUAUCUUCGCUUCCACUUGAAAAGGGUGCGUGAACGCUACCCCAACACAGAGAUCGAGCGCUACGCCGCUUUCAUCGGAGAAUCGCUGAAGAAGACCAAGACUCGUGAGUUUGUACCCUCACAGGAGGAGAUCGCCGCCUUGCUGGUUAGGCAGGAAAUGAGCACCACUGUUUACUGCCAUGGGGGAGGAUCCUGCAAGAUCUCCAUUAACUCGCACACCACAGCUGGAGAGGUUGUGGAGAAGUUGAUCCGAGGGUUGGCUAUGGAGGACAGCAAGAACCUUUUUUCUCUUUUUGAGCACAAUUCUGUGACUGAUCGAGCUUUGGAGAGCAGAGUCAUUGUGGCAGAUGUUUUAGCCAAGUUUGAAAGGCUUGCUGGCAGUGAGGAAGAGGAGGAAGAAGGAGAAUGGAAGCUGUAUUUCAAGCUCUACUGCUUCUUGGAUGUGGAAAGCAUGCACAAAGAAGGAGUGGAGUUUGCCUUCAUGUUUGAACAGGCUCACGAGUCUCUCAUCAGCGGACAUUUCCCAGCGUCUGAGGAGACGUUGCAGCAUCUGGCCGCUUUAAGGCUGCAGUAUCUCCACGGUGACGGGGCCGGCAGGGCUGGCUGGAGUCUGGGAACCGUAUAUCCAAUCGGACGUCUCCGCAGCCGCAUCAUACAUUCCACCAAGCCUGGCGUGGGUUCUGCAAGCGUAACGGCGGGAGGAGGAGGGACAGCGGACAGUAAGGCAGCGGCGGGGGGGCCGGGUGGUGUGGGCGGCGCAGUGGAGAAACGCAAAACGCCGAGCUUCUUGGACGGCACGCUGAGGAGGAGCUUCAAGACGGGGUCACUAAAGAAACAGAAGGUGGAAGAAGAGCAGAUGCUGGAGAUGUGGGUGAAGGAGGAGACAUCGGCCACACGCACCAGCGUGCUGGAGAAGUGGACACGGCUGCAGGGCAUGGCGCAGCACCAGGCCAUGCUCAAAUACAUGAGCAUCAUCAAGGAGUGGCCCGGAUACGGAUCUACUCUCUUUGACGUGGAGUGUAAGGAAGGCGGUUUCCCCCAUGACCUGUGGCUGGGCGUGAGCGCCGACAACGUGUCUGUCUACAAGCGAGGCGAACCCAAACCGCUGGAGACAUUCCAGUAUGAGCACAUCACAUUUUUUGGCGCCUCGCAAAUCUACACCUACAAGAUCAUCGUAGACGAGAGGGAGAUGUUCUUUGAGACGCCACUGGUUGGCGAGAUCACCAAGAUCAUGAGGGCUUACAUUAACAUGAUGGUGAAAAAACGCUGCAGCAUCAUGUCGGUCACCAGCGUUGCCAGCUCGUGGGUGAGGUGAUUGCGGUUGGGCAUUCAAAGCCAUAGGUUUUCCCUAGCGGCUAACGAUGCCCCUCCUGGACUGAGGCAGUCACACUAAUCCUUGCCAAGCAUAGAAAAUCAACGCUGAAAGCAAAUGGAUUCAUGAGAGCGGGUCGGAUACAUUUCAUUGGAGCAUGAAACUUGAACCUGGAUUUUGGAGGACAGUCCUUUCACACACACGACAAUUACCCAGUGAUAGCCCUUGCAUGUAGAUGUUCAAAUCCAAUCCAAAUUCUCAGACGUCCGUCUUUGUGGGCCUCAAGCGCAAAGCAGCCAUUACCUGUUCUGUCCUACAUUGAUCCAGGACCCAGGGGGUCUUCGACAGAAGCAAGGAUAUACCCCAAGAACCUCGCAUUUGUUGGGGGGUCUAUAUUCAAGCAUUUUGGGGUAGUGUUCACACUGGUUGUAGGAGAACCACCACUUAAAACCCACAGAGAGGGCUAAUGUCCAGGUGUUCUACCCACCAGAUCGCAUGGGUCUCGGCUUCUUCAUUGGACGUGGUAGUAGUCCAUUCCAGCAUCUAACCCCAUGAUCUGGGGCCUUGAUGAGGGCAUCGUCCUGGGCGUGAUUUCUUCAUCCAAGACCAGGGGUCUCCAAACUAUUCCACAUCAGGCCGCAGUGGGUGCUGGAUUUCUUUCCAACAAAUCUGCCAUGCCUUGACUUGGUUUGUGAAAUCAAUAGGUAAUCACAAUGACCAGACACACUAGGGCAGGGGUCCCCAACCUUUUUUGCACCACGGACCGGUGUGAUUUGGGUUUUUUUUUCACGGACCGGUGUUUGGUCAAAUAUUCCCCCCUUAUAAAAUUUUGCUACCAAAGCUUUUAUGACGGUGAAAAAAAGCCCUCUUUUAUAUUCAGUUGGACUCUCAAUGUUAUCCAACGGUGCUAAAAAACUAUUUACAUCAUAAACAGACAUGUGCAACACGAAAAUAGCGUAAAUUAAUGCUUAACGACACGGCGAAGUCGUUAAGUGAGACAGCUGCAAGCAGUUGUUGUGUGCAGUUAACAUGAGUAACGUAAGUUCAUAUUCCUUUCUUUAAAGAAAGUUUGUAGUGUGUACUUUUGAAUCGCUGCAUUUGCGGUCAUUUUUAACGUUGCGCCCGUGCCAAAUUUGUCAGAACACCGGCAAUGUGCGGCAGAAAAAUACAGCAAAUGUGAAAUAACAUUUGUUUUUAGCCCCGUCGUGUUAAGUGCAGGGAAAAUACAACUCACCCGCUGAAUCAGUGGGAGGCCUGAGCUUGUUUUAUUGAGAUGAGAUGGUCCCGAGAUGGGAGAGUGAGAGAAGCUAGCUUCACAAAGAUACGAUGUUGGAAAUUAUAGCACAGUUUUCACUGCGCUCCUAGCGAUAUCAGGAUAUUCCGAAAUGACUUUAAUCCAUAACCUCGGUAGAGCUGUUGUCUCAAAUGUACGUUAAAGGUCGCCGUGAUUUGUAAUCACUACAAGCUGAUAUUCCUGUUGCACAGACAUGCUCGAAUCACUCGGUUUAUUCACAUACGGGUCACGAAUCCACUCCUUCGCAGUUCAUGGGUCUUUAGUUAUUGGGAAGUAGCAUAGAUCUUGUUUUCUUCGAAUUGUAGGCUCAUCUUCUGGCUCGUCAGGUGCCCUUUCCCCGUAAAAAAUGUCCAAAGACGUCUGUUUUUCAGUCGUUCUAGUGUGGGGGCUAAUUAUUUCCGGGAACAAAUGUGAUGCGCCCGCCCUACGUCAUACGUUAUUAUCGAGGCCAAGCGCACAUUGAUAUACAAAACAAGAUGUACUGUUAACAGUCCAAUCAAUGCAUUUCUAUGACGACCUCCUAUCCUGUUGUUGUAUAUCUAGAGUAGACAGGGAUAUUCGUGUGUUAAGCGGCACAGGCCAAAGUCAGUCGGCCAGAGUGCAGACGUCAAUAAAUUAUUUAUUAUUUCUGCGUGGCCUGGUACCAAAUGCACCGCGGACCCGGUCGUUGGGGACCCCUGCACUAGGGCAUAAUCUUAACAAAACUCAAUUUAAGGCAUGACAAAAACAGUACAACACCUUUGCACCAGUCUGGUGUCUUUACAAGUGUAAUCAGUUGAUUGUAGUCAGGUGUUAAUUAUUUUAGCAGAAACCUAAUUGGUUAAAUGGUCUGUGCUCGAUCCUUAAGAACAAAAACCAGGACCCACAGCGGCCCUUGAGGACCAGUUUGGGCCUCCCUGUCCUAGACGCUUCAAAGAUCUAUGAGAUUGGGAAGAGGGGGAGGCUAUGUCUUGGGAUAUUCCUUUCCUGAAACCAAGAGGGGCUGCCUCUGGGGACCUAGGUUACGGUUCUCUCCCAGGAUACCAGCCUGUCAGACUAAAGACCACUUCCUAUUGUGUUCCAGUUAGGGGGACGGAUCUUGUGGUGAGGUCCCCAAAAUCAAAGGGCGCUACUUCUGAGGACUCGCGGUUGGGGAUUAAUUUCUUCCACUCCAGGAACCAGGGUGUUGCUUCCCUCUAAGGCCCCAGGUUAUGGCUCUCUUUUUUUGGACUCCACCACUCAACGAUCUAGUCGAGCCUACCGUUCUAGAUCUACAGUAUAUAACAAGACCACUCUAGCCCCAUGAUCCAAGGAGUGCAGUCUCACCCACAGGAACCCCAAGCACCAAGGAGGGGCAAGCUUCUAGGACCCAGGGAUGGGGGCGUACCCCUGUUCUGUUGCACUGCCAGACAUUCUGCUUCAAGCUCUCUCGAGUCUCUCUCUUUCUCUUCUCGUGCAUUCGUCCCAACUCCCGUCGCGGGUUAUUAAGUUACAGUGUUGAAUUCUUGCUUGCUUUUGUUGGUAUUCACUGUAUGUAAAAUCACAUUUACACGUUUGUCAUUUGAGUGCGGGGUCUUUUCUGUUUGGAGAAGGAGGAAACAAAGAAGCCAUUCACUCACCAGUGCCACUGUGUGGACAAAAGAAGAUACUACAGCCAAAAACAAAGCUGCUUCGAAUACUUUGGAAUUAUAUCAAGGAAGACAAUAUGUGUGUUUUGACUUUAUUUUGGCACAAAAACUUAACCAAGUUUUAUUGUUUGUGUAUUGUAUAUCAGGUAUAAUAAGAGUUAUUAACUUUUGGGCAGGCACAGCAUUCCUAGUGUAAGAUAAGAGCAAUUGAAAUGGUGUCAUUCACUGGCAGUGCCAUUUUUGUGAUUCACAGAGAAACACUAUGUUUUAAGGAAGUUAUCUUUUUUUUUACGCUAUUAGUACUGUAUACUCUUGUCAUGGUCAUGCUGUUUUCUUUAAAACAAAAAUGACAUAAGCGCACCACUUUGGUUAGGUUCAUACCGUAGGUCUUAAUGCAUGAAUCCAAUUUUUUCGUGUUUUUCCGACUCGAGCGAGGCAUUAACUUGACGGUCUGAAUGGUAAAGUCUCAUAAAAGUGGACCAUUUUAAAUCUUAUCUAAGUCACUUUCGAAUGUCGUUCAAAUCCGAUUUGGGCCACAUUUUUCCGGAAUGUGGCUGCGGUCUGAACUGUCAAGUCCCCCGAAUCGGAAUUCAUGUGGCAAUUACGUCAGCAAAGAGCGAGAGAGACAGGGCGCUACGGCAGCAGUGCAUUAGCAUUAGCAAUUAGCUUGAACACGGCUUCUAGGGAAGAUGCGGGUUUGACAACAGAUAUGACAGAAAAAAUCGGAAUUGUGCAUUAAGACCUGCAGUAUGAACCUCGCCUUGUACGUCUGUGAUUCCAUGGAACUUAACUUACUGGUAUUUAUGUUAUUACUUGUGUAACAACACCUUUGCUAAAGGUGCUGUGUGUGGUAUGCUGCUGUGUGUUUGUGUAUGGGUGUUGCAAUCCAAAUUGCAUUAUAUGGGAAAAGAAAUGAAGAAAAGUAACACGUGUAUUACUCGGAUAUGAGAUGUAUUUAGUAUAUGACUAAGCAAACGAUGGUGUUGUGAUUGUGUGUUAAAGGUAAGAAAGCAUGGGGAAUUAUU